AUGCAUUUCUAUUUUUGCAUCCCUUAUAUUAAGGGUCUGUUCCACAAUUCAUCUCUGAAGAAAUGCAGCAUCGUCCAUUUUCUCAAGGACAUAUCCUAUUAUGGUCUCAAAUAUAAUCAGUAUCAUCUGAACCAACAGGUGUGUUCUUCAGAAAAAAAGAUGUGUUCUUAUUAUGGUCUGAAGAACAAUUUUGGAUGUUUUUUUUGUUGUUGGUUCUCAUAUCCAACCUGUCUGUGGCAGAGUUCAAAGAGGAAUUUCAUAGGAAUUCUAGAGGAAAUGAUUUUUAUAGGAUUUUUUCCUUUAGAGCCCUUUGGUUCAUAG
This 321-nucleotide ribosomal RNA is filed under the name Triticum aestivum (bread wheat). RNAcentral describes it as "partial small subunit ribosomal RNA". The record is from RNAcentral. Lineage: Eukaryota; Viridiplantae; Streptophyta; Magnoliopsida; Poales; Poaceae.